Molecule: long non-coding RNA, 261 nt
Organism: Ficedula albicollis (Collared flycatcher)
Lineage: Eukaryota; Metazoa; Chordata; Aves; Passeriformes; Muscicapidae
Exons: 3
Source: RefSeq, a predicted model, not a curated record
GCUGGAUGCCAGACUGAGCUUGUGAUUCACAUUUUGCUGUACAAAUGUCUUGAACCAAAACUGCAGGGGUCUCCAUUAAGGAAAGAUCGUAUCAAAAAAUAGUUUUGAAAAUGGGAGAAGCCAAAGGCCUGGGAUCCUAAGUCCUAUGACAAUGGAGGAAGAGGUCCGCCAAGACCUAUGACAUGACUUCCGUCUUUAACAACUUCUGUCUAUUGCCACAAUAAAGGUUAAAGAAUUUUACCUAGUUUAUGAGAAAACCAU